GAUGAACGCUGGCGGCGUGCCUAAUACAUGCAAGUCGAGCGAACAGACGAGGAGCUUGCUCCUCUGACGUUAGCGGCGGACGGGUGAGUAACACGUGGAUAACCUACCUAUAAGACUGGGAUAACUUCGGGAAACCGGAGCUAAUACCGGAUAACAUGUUGAACCGCAUGGUUCAACAGUGAAAGACGGUCUUGCUGUCACUUAUAGAUGGAUCCGCGCCGCAUUAGCUAGUUGGUAAGGUAACGGCUUACCAAGGCAACGAUGCGUAGCCGACCUGAGAGGGUGAUCGGCCACACUGGAACUGAGACACGGUCCAGACUCCUACGGGAGGCAGCAGUAGGGAAUCUUCCGCAAUGGGCGAAAGCCUGACGGAGCAACGCCGCGUGAGUGAAGAAGGUCUUCGGAGCGUAAAACUCUGUUAUUAGGGAAGAACAAAUGUGUAAGUAACUAUGCACGGCUUGACGGUACCUAAUCAGAAAGCCACGGCUAACUACGUG
RNAcentral lists this ribosomal RNA (497 nucleotides) under uncultured bacterium. RNAcentral describes it as "partial 16S ribosomal RNA". It matches the Rfam family "Bacterial small subunit ribosomal RNA", at positions 28 to 507 of the family's 1533-position model. The record is from RNAcentral.